CGGGGAUAACCUUCCGAAAGAGGGCUAAUACCGCAUAAGACCACGAGCUGUACGCAGCUUGAGGUCAAAGCUGGCCUCUUCAUGAAAGCUAGCACUUGAGGAUGAGUCCGCGGCCCAUCAGCUAGUUGGUAGUGUAAAAGACUACCAAGGCUAAGACGGGUAGCUGGUCUGAGAGGAUGAUCAGCCACACUGGAACUGAGACACGGUCCAGACUCCUACGGGAGGCAGCAGUGGGGAAUCUUGCGCAAUGGGCGAAAGCCUGACGCAGCGACGCCGCGUGGGUGAUGAAGGCCUUCGGGUUGUAAAGCCCUGUGGGGAGGGACGAAUAACAACGACCUAAUACGUCGUUGGAUGACGGUACCUCCUUAGCAAGCACCGGCUAACUCUGUGCCAGCAGCCGCGGUAA
RNAcentral lists this ribosomal RNA (406 nucleotides) under uncultured delta proteobacterium. RNAcentral describes it as "bacterial SSU rRNA". It matches the Rfam family "Bacterial small subunit ribosomal RNA", at positions 138 to 523 of the family's 1533-position model. The record is from RNAcentral. Lineage: Bacteria; Deltaproteobacteria.